This 97-nucleotide transfer RNA is filed under the name Cercophora newfieldiana. RNAcentral describes it as "tRNA-Ile". Lineage: Eukaryota; Fungi; Ascomycota; Sordariomycetes; Sordariales; Lasiosphaeriaceae. The record is from RNAcentral.
GCCUGAUUAGCUCAGCUGGUUAGAGCGUCGUACUAAUAUCUUCACAAAGAGAUAUCAAGUCAUGCGAAGGUCAACAGUUCAAUCCUGUUAUUGGGCA